This 547-nucleotide long non-coding RNA is filed under the name Cricetulus griseus (Chinese hamster). RNAcentral's name for it is "lncRNA (ENSCGRG00015036267.1)". Lineage: Eukaryota; Metazoa; Chordata; Mammalia; Rodentia; Cricetidae. The record is from RNAcentral.
CAGGCUGGGCAGCUUUAUCUGCAAGUUGGAAAUCCGAGGCCCAGAGGCCAGGAGGGAGGGCGGUGGGGAUCAGAGGCCAGGCCUCCCAGGCUCCUGGAGCCCCUCAGAGGUCAGGGUGAUAAGGAACAAUGAGUUUCCCAUUCUGGAGGAGGAAGGAAGUCCUGCGGCCACCUAAUCUCUGCUCCUCUGCCUCCUCCCUGCUCCCAGAACCUUUUCUCUGGAGAAGACUUUGAAGGCGGCUUCUAUCCAUCAACACUGAAUGUUAGGCUGUAGGAAGAUCAGCCCUACUAUCUGGAUCUUAUCCUCCAUCGCAGCAGAAGGGACACAGACAGGGAAAGCAGUUUGGAACCACUUUCCAAGGCCAAAGAAGCCAAGGCAGAAUGCACUUCAGCAGCAAGACUGAAGCCACUACAGGGGGAUAACUCCAGGACAUCUGUCCGCAUAAGAAUCACUACUUAACCCUACAUGUUUUUCUUUUUUCUUUUCUUUUUUUUUAAACUUAUAUUUUAUGUAUGAGUGUUCUGCAUGUACACUUGCAUGCCAGAAG